UGGCGCAACGGUAGCGCGUUCGACUCCAGAUCGAAAGGUGUACGUUCGAAUACAUAC
RNAcentral lists this transfer RNA (57 nucleotides) under Phialocephala subalpina. It matches the Rfam family "tRNA", at positions 8 to 63 of the family's 71-position model. From Rfam's summary of the family: Transfer RNA (tRNA) molecules are approximately 80 nucleotides in length. Their secondary structure includes four short double-helical elements and three loops (D, anti-codon, and T loops). Lineage: Eukaryota; Fungi; Ascomycota; Leotiomycetes; Helotiales; Mollisiaceae. The record is from Rfam by way of RNAcentral.